This 459-nucleotide ribosomal RNA is filed under the name uncultured bacterium. RNAcentral's name for it is "bacterial SSU rRNA". It matches the Rfam family "Bacterial small subunit ribosomal RNA", at positions 29 to 533 of the family's 1533-position model. The record is from RNAcentral.
AACGAACGCUGGCGGCAGGCCUAACACAUGCAAGUCGAGCGAGGUAGCAAUACCUAGCGGCGGACGGGUGAGUAACGCGUGGGAACGUACCCUUUGCUACGGAAUAGCCCCGGGAAACUGGGAGUAAUACCGUAUGUGCCCUUCGGGGGAAAGAUUUAUCGGCAAAGGAUCGGCCCGCGUUGGAUUAGGUAGUUGGUGGGGUAAUGGCCUACCAAGCCGACGAUCCAUAGCUGGUUUGAGAGGAUGAUCAGCCACACUGGGACUGAGACACGGCCCAGACUCCUACGGGAGGCAGCAGUGGGGAAUCUUAGACAAUGGGCGCAAGCCUGAUCUAGCCAUGCCGCGUGAGUGAUGAAGGCCUUAGGGUUGUAAAGCUCUUUCAGAUGGGAAGAUAAUGACGGUACCAUCAGAAGAAGCCCCGGCUAACUCCGUGCCAGCAGCCGCGGUAAAGUAGUCGUG